CCAGAGAGUUCUUAAGAAGAGCUCGAUUGGUGGAUGAAACUGCUUUAUACAAUUAUUCAAAGAAACGCACAACGACCAGUAAAACUGUUAAAGUUUUUCUUCGACAAAAUAAUCUCAUUCCCCGUAACGACUGAUUCAAAAUUGCUUGGCAAGAGCAAUGAGAUGAGAUGGUUUCUGUCAAAUGACAGAUGCUAUCACACGCCACCGCCUCCUGCAAUAGUUGUGUUGCAAAGGAUGAAGAUAUAGUCUAUGCCAUUAGUAAUAAUGGA
Molecule: non-coding RNA, 269 nt
Filed under: candidate division Kazan bacterium GW2011_GWA1_44_22
Lineage: Bacteria
Source: RNAcentral